This 468-nucleotide ribosomal RNA is filed under the name uncultured bacterium. RNAcentral describes it as "partial 16S ribosomal RNA". It matches the Rfam family "Bacterial small subunit ribosomal RNA", at positions 28 to 507 of the family's 1533-position model. The record is from RNAcentral.
GACGAACGCUGGCGGCGUGCUUAACACAUGCAAGUCGAACGGAAAGGCCCUGCUUGUGUGGGGUGCUCGGGGGGCGAACGGGGGAGUAACACGUGAGUAACCUGCCCUAGACUUUGGGAUAACUUAAGGAAGCUGGGGCUAAUACAGGAUAGGAGCUCCUGCUGCAUGGAGGGGGGGGGAAAGUUUCGGCGGGUGGGGAUGGACUAGCGGCUGAUCAGUUUGUUGGUGGGGUAGUGGCUUACCAAGGCUGUGACGGGUAGCCGGCCUGAGAGGGGGACCGGGCACAUUGGGACUGAGAGAGGGCCCAGACUCCUACGUGAGGCAGCAGGGGGGAAUAUUGCACAGUGGGCGGAAGCCUGAUGCAGCAACGCCGCGUUCGGGAUGACGGCUUUCGGGGUGUAAACCGCUGUCGCCUGUGACGCAGCGGGAGUGACGGUAAUGGGUAAAGAAGCACCGGCUAACUACGUG